Long non-coding RNA from Coturnix japonica (Japanese quail), 2232 nucleotides. RefSeq lists it as uncharacterized. The record is from RefSeq and is a predicted model, not a curated record. NCBI's taxonomy places the organism in Eukaryota, Metazoa, Chordata, Aves, Galliformes, Phasianidae.
UUUUGGUGGGGAGGGGGGGUGUUGUGUUUGCGAUCUCUGCCUUGGUACCUAAGGAGGAAGAGGAGGAGGAGGGUGUGUUAUUGAAUGGUGGCUAAAGCCUCCUCGGGACGGCGCUGAGGUGAAACGGGCUGAACCCGACUGCUGUGCCUCCUCUCCCGGUUGGACCCGGUGCCCUAAGCAGCCGAGGAGGGACCCCAGCCGCCCGGCUCGCAGCACAAAUUAAACCAAGAAUAUGGAGAACCCAUAUGACUUCAUCCUUCAGACCACAAGUGAAGCUGAUUCAGCAAGUGGUGACAAGUCUGCUGUUUGAUCAAAUGAGGACCAACAUUUGGCAAUAAGCUAGCCACUGUAAUAUUUUGCUCAAUGCAUUUAUGGAUAUCAUUUAUAUCAAAACCAAACUUUUUAAAUUUAGAGCUCAGUACUAACACCUCAAUUACAGAUAUUUUCCUAUAAAUCUAAUCUUAAAACAGAAUUGCUUUUAUGGAAAAACAUUUCCAGUCUUGAUAGAAGAUAUUUGACAAAGUCAUGUAGGAUGAACUGAUGUGGAGUACUGUAUUGAUAUUUUCUUAAUUAUCAUUAAAGAUUAAAGAUUACUGUAGAGUUUAUUACACGGUGCCAUACACAGUUUAGAGAACUUGCUGUGAAACAAUGAAAAUUAACAAUCAUCAACUUUUCCAGUAGUGCUAUAACUUUAUCAACACUAUUCUUUACAACAUUCAUGUAAAGCAUGUUCAUUGGAUUUCAUCUGGAGACAUUUACACAAAAAAUAUUAAAAACAAUCCAAAGAUGCACUUACAAAUAAUAGUAAAAGAACCCUUGUCAACUGUGACCUUUAGUUUCUAUCUUGAAAAACUAUAAAGUCAGAGUAAAUCUAAACUUUCUAGACAUAAUUAGUAAUAUUUCCACUGCUUUUAAAAAUCAUUUCAUUUUUGCCAAUUAUAGCACAAGGUGUGAAUGAACUGAAACUGCUAAUAUAGAACAGAGUCAUCUCCUUUAUUACAAGUAAAUGUAUUGUCUUCUACUUUUUCUUUUCUUUUCUUUUUUUUUUUUUUUUUCCUUUUUCUUAGAUUUUGGGAAUUCUUGAAUUUCUUUUACAUGAUUUAAACAUCCUGUUAACCAACUUACUAGAACUGAUUUUUCUGCUCUUUCUGACUUCUUCUGUCCUCUUAAUCAAUUCAUUUUUCUCAACAAUAUCUCUGAGUGUUUGAUUUUACACUUCAGAAGUUUCCUUCAUUUUCUUUCUUUUCCUCUUUUUUCUGUUCUCUUCCCCCCCCCCCCCACAAGUUUUCCCUAGAUUUUUUUUUCUUCAGUUUUUUAGCUCUGUUUCAUGUCCAUCUUUUUGGAGCAAGUCUUCUGCACAAAUUUGUAUGGACUGUCUUUUAACACUGCCUGCACCCAGCAUUGCUGUGUUUAUUCCAAUUUGAUUUACAUGAACCAGUACUCAGAGAGAUAUUGCAUUCUUCCUGCUGUUGUUAAGAAUAGGAGCCCUAAUAUCUUCUUGAAAAGCUGUAACCACUGUUCUUGUUGCAACAUAGAUGCUACUUCUUUUAAUUGGUCUUGACGUAUUCAGUAGUAGCUACAAUUCAAAGGGGUCUCUGCAAGUUUAUGUUCUGAAAUAUAUAAAACCUCCAUCAUAUUAGUUUUGUUAUUUUGCAAGCUUUCUUAUUCCCAGACCACCAAGUACUUGAAAAAGACAAUACUGCAUGAUUCUUCUAGCAGUCACAAUGUUGUUCUUAAAAGGUGGUGCUUGAGAUGGUUGACAUAGCCCUACAACUUCUGCAGGCUCCCAGUAAUAUUCCUCAUGAAAACAUAAUAUUAAUUUGGCCCUUGUUAAAAGUUAAAACUAAAAUGUAGGAAUGGAUGCUCAUAUUUAUAUACAACUUACAGUAUUUUUGACUGCAUUCCCUAAGAGUGAAGUAUCAGAUCAAAGAAGAGAAAAAUAUAUAUGCUUACUUUUUACAGUGGAUUAUUGACAGGACUAUAGACAAAUGACACUAUACACUGGCAAGGUUCAAAUAAAAUACUGUUUCUUCCAUAAUUUGCCAUAGCAGACCGAAAAUUCUAAGUCUUAAUUGCUUACCAUACAUAAUUUCCCUCCUUCCCCUAGUCUAAAAAGUAUACAAUGUAAUAGUAGAAGAAAAUAUAAGACAGCAGAGGUGACACAGAAUGAAAUCAUUCAAUUAUUGGAGAAAUAUAGUUAUCUAAAAAAAAAAAAAAAAAAAAAAAAAAAAA